Molecule: long non-coding RNA, 2163 nt
Organism: Mytilus californianus (California mussel)
Lineage: Eukaryota; Metazoa; Mollusca; Bivalvia; Mytilida; Mytilidae
Exons: 3
Source: RefSeq, a predicted model, not a curated record
UAUCAAUAUUGAUUACUAUUUAAUUCAUAUUUUAAGUUAAGCUUUAUUAACCUUUCGUAGACAUUUAAAUAUAGUAGUCAUUUUGAAAUUUUGAAAUACAACACGUAGUUCAAAAUCUGUAAUGUUGAUUUGUAACCAUGCCGUCAAGUUUCUAGGUCAUUGAUUAAUGUUGCCAGAAAUGGUAGAAAUGCAACCAUACAAUUAAUGCAAUUGUGAUUUAUUUAAGAUGUCUGCCUUCCCCGCCGGAUAUUCAGAUCCGUCACAGUAUGGAUCGUCCUUUGCACCAUCCAUGCAACCUGGACAACCAGCAAGUUAUCCUCCUCCUGGACCUGCAAGUUAUCCUCCAGCUUAUCCUCCAGUUACAGGACAACCAAUGCAUGGACAGAUGCCGAUGCAAACUCAGUCUGUAAUCAUGAAUAACCAGACUAUAACCAUGCAAAUCGAUCCAGCUCAUGCGGCAUUGGUUGCUAAUAUGGCUCAAAUGAUAGAUCCGAAUAAUCCAGCGAGAAAUGAACAUCCGGUUCGCAUGAAAUGUCCGUCAUGCCACCUAGAAGUAACAACAGAAACUACAUACGUCGUCGGUAGUUGUACCUAUCUCUGCUGUAUUCUGUUCUUUUUAAGUGGACUUAUCUUAUGCUGCUGGUUGGCUUUCUUUAUGAAUAUGGCAAAAGACGUUGUUCACACUUGUCCGAGUUGUAAAGCUGAGUGUGGUAGAUUUGUCCGACAACAACAAAAUAGGGUUCACGCUUCUGGUGGUCGGGGGAGGAGGAGGAGAGGACGUAGGCGUUGAUCAACUUCAUGGUUAUUAUGGUCGGCGAAGACUUAGGCGAUGAUAAUUUUUAUAUCCUGUAACCAUUACAAAUAAUAUUUUAUCACAUUUUAUGUUCUUGGAAAUACCAUAGAGUAAUAUUACUCAGUGGCGUUAUAACAUAAACAUAAGUUCACAAGAGAGAUCAUUGCAUGUGUAUGGGUACUAAGUAUCUAAGGAAGCUGUAAUUGAAGUCGUUUAUUAUUUCCCUAAGACUUUUUAAUGUGCCAUUUGAAAAAUGCUUAAUUCAUGUUUCCCGGAAUGAAUGGCUGUAUUUCGAACAUGUUUAAACUUCCGUGUACCUGGUUGAAAUUUGGUACACCAAAUAGGCAAACGGUGGAGAAUAUUGAAUAGAUAACGGUGGUCAAAACGUCCGGACUCUUGAAUAUCGAUCGUAAGUCUUGACCACCUUUACAUACUCCUCGAAGAGAACCACUUUGUUAAAAUACUCCUUCAUGAGUAAUUGUCUUAAUGUGCCGAAUUAUAACCUUGAUGUAGGUAAUAUGUUUAUCACUUCAUUUGAGUGUGUUUAUCUUGUAUGUAAAAAUUAUACUGUAUGAUUCAUUUUUCAUCAUAAUUAAUGCAAAUUCCGUCCAAUCAAUUGAUUGAUUAAUUGUGAUUUUGAAUAAAUUGCGCGAGAGAAUCUUUGGACAUUCAUGAUUUAUAAUGUCAUUUAUUUACGGUGUUAACUUGUAUUUAUAUUGUAUUAGUUUAUGACAAGUAAUUGUUGUCAUAUAUUUCAAUUAUGAUUAUUCGCAAUAUUGACACUGCAAUUGAAUGUUCGGUAAUAUGAUCAGAUGCGGAUCCAGGAUUUUGUAAAAGAGGGGGGGGGGGGGGGGGGGCAAUCUAGAAAAAGUUUGGAGUGGAACAGAUAAAAAUUCUGGACUAACCAUAAAUGUAGCUCCAUAAGGGAGCACGACCCAGCCCCCUAAAUCCGCCUCUGAUGAUCCUCAAGGCGAGGGUGAACAAAGUGGAUAUAAUGGGGGUCAAUUAUUAACACGGAUAUUCCAAAUGGAUUGUUUCAUUUUGACAGGAAACAUAAAUCAUACGAUUUUUGUUUGUUUGAUGUUUUAUUUUUUUUUUAAACUGCAACAUCUAUGACUGCGCAUGUUCUCCAUGACAUCGUUAUACAAUUAUGUAAAUGUAAUAGUAUUCAGACUCAGGGGGUCAGACCUAUGUCAGACAAGUUUAUGGUUGUGUGUUUUUUUACAUAAAUUUGUAAAUUAAACUCUUCCUUAAAAUAUGUUCUAUUGUAUUGUAUUGCAUUGUAUUGUAUUUAAUUGUAUCAUUGUUUGUUUGUAUUGCUUGCCCCUUAUGGGUGUAAUUUUGCAAUAAAGAUAUAAUAUUCAGUUAAA